AAAUUGAAGAGUUUGAUCAUGGCUCAGAUUGAACGCUGGCGGCAGGCCUAACACAUGCAAGUCGAACGGUAACAGGAAGCAGCUUGCUGCUUCGCUGACGAGUGGCGGACGGGUGAGUAAUGUCUGGGAAACUGCCUGAUGGAGGGGGAUAACUACUGGAAACGAUGGCUAAUACCGCAUAACGUCGCAAGACCAAAGAGGGGGACCUUCGGGCCUCUUGCCAUCAGAUGUGCCCAGAUGGGAUUAGCU
Molecule: ribosomal RNA, 249 nt
Filed under: Salmonella enterica
Lineage: Bacteria; Pseudomonadati; Pseudomonadota; Gammaproteobacteria; Enterobacterales; Enterobacteriaceae
Description: partial 16S ribosomal RNA
Rfam family: Bacterial small subunit ribosomal RNA
Source: RNAcentral